RNAcentral lists this long non-coding RNA (402 nucleotides) under Vitis vinifera (wine grape). RNAcentral's name for it is "long non-coding RNA (VVIN_LNC005356)". Lineage: Eukaryota; Viridiplantae; Streptophyta; Magnoliopsida; Vitales; Vitaceae. The record is from RNAcentral.
UUGUAUUGCACAUGAAUUCUUGUGAGGUAUAUAACAAGUUAUUAAGAUAUUGAAGGAACUUAAAUUAUUUAUAGUUCAGAGAGACUAAAAAAUUUAUUAAUAGUUACAUUUUCUUGUAGAUAUCAUGAUUGAGUCUUUGCUCGCACCCCAUUUUCAAAGCCUAUGAAGUAUGUUGACCAUGCUUUAUAAUCCUAUCUAGAUGUGAAGAAUUCAUUAACAUCAUCAUUUUUCAUAUAUGUUGAAAAUAUUAUUUUUAAAUAGUAAUAACAAUAUAAAGUCCUUUUGGUAGCUCAAAUACUAUAAACUCAUGAUGGUGAGAUGCAUUGACAUUAUUAAUCAUUAGUUUGUUCUUUUUAUUUUUGAAACUUUAAAUAAAUAAGAUUCAAAUCUAUAUUAUGAAGU